AGCUCCAAUAGCGUAUAUUAAAGUUGUUGCAGUUAAAAAGCUCGUAGUUGAAAUUUGGGCUCGCGCGGCUUCGGUCUGCCAGGGAUGGUGUGCACUGAGCUGCGCGGCCUUCCGCCUGGUUUGCGGCUUGCUGCUCUUAACUGAGUGGCAAGAUCGCUCCAGGCCGUUUACUUUGAAAAAAUUAGAGUGCUCAAAGCAGGCGAGUGCGCCUUGAAUAGAUUAGCAUGGGAUAAUGAAAUAGGGCUCGACGCGCUAUUUUGUUGGUUUCUAGCGCGUGAGCAAUGAUUAAUAGAGGCGGUCGGGGGCAUUCAUAUUCUGCCGCUAGAGGUGAAAUUCUUGGAUCGGCGGAAGAUGCACUACUGCGAAAGCAUUUGCCAAGGACGCCCUCA
RNAcentral lists this ribosomal RNA (389 nucleotides) under uncultured eukaryote. RNAcentral describes it as "SSU rRNA". It matches the Rfam family "Eukaryotic small subunit ribosomal RNA", at positions 587 to 972 of the family's 1831-position model. The record is from RNAcentral.